GGCGCGGCCCAAGACGACGCCAAGGGAGCGGACGGGCGGGGAGGAGGUGGCCUCUGCGCAGGCGCAGAGAGGAGCGAGCGACUCCUGCGCAAGCGCAGAGUGAAGGGCCGGGAACAGUGGAGGGUGCGAGGAAGACAAUGGGGGAGGACCCUGAGGCGGCCUCUGUGAGCCGACAGGAACACGUGGUCGAUCAGAGAGAGACUCGAGGUUCGUGAACGGAUGGGGAGGACCCUGAAAAGCACUGUGGAAUACAGGUUUCUAGUAACUUCAAAAUCACAUCAUUUGGACUGGCUUCUUUGGGAUGUCCGCUCUGCAUAUCUACUAAGGAAUUAAGAAAUAAUGGCUUCAGCAAGAAACAAGGCAGGAAAGUGCAGUGACAUGAGGACCAUACAGGGAAGGAGCUGUCCCCAAAGCACGAUGAGCCACUUGAGGCCAGGUACAGCCAUGGCGUGUAUCCCAGAGCACCUGUGAGAAUGUCUCACAGACAGUCCGUCUCUCCUGAAUAUGAAGGGAUGGGCACCAGCCG
RNAcentral lists this long non-coding RNA (526 nucleotides) under Homo sapiens (human). RNAcentral's name for it is "non-protein coding lnc-PDGFA-17:3". Lineage: Eukaryota; Metazoa; Chordata; Mammalia; Primates; Hominidae. The record is from RNAcentral.